GACGAACGCUGGCGGCGCGCCUAACACAUGCAAGUCGAACGAGCGAGAGAGAGCUUGCUUUCUUGAGCGAGUGGCGAACGGGUGAGUAACGCGUGAGGAACCUGCCUCAAAGAGGGGGACAACAGUUGGAAACGACUGCUAAUACCGCAUAAGCGCACGGUGCCGCAUGGCACAGAGGGAAAAGGAGCAAUCCGCUUUGAGAUGGCCUCGCGUCCGAUUAGCUAGGUGGUGAGGUAACGGCCCACCAAGGCGACGAUCGGUAGCCGGACUGGGGGGCUGACCCGUCACAUUGGGACUGAGACACGGCCCACACUCCUACGGGAGGCAGCAGUGGGUAAUAUUGCACACUGGGGGAAACCGUGAUGCAGCCGCGCCGCGUGGAGGAAGAAGGUCUUCGGAUUGUGAUCUCCUGUUGUUGGGGAAGAUAAUGACGGUACCCAACAAGGAAGUGACGGCUAACUACGUG
This 466-nucleotide ribosomal RNA is filed under the name uncultured bacterium. RNAcentral describes it as "partial 16S ribosomal RNA". It matches the Rfam family "Bacterial small subunit ribosomal RNA", at positions 28 to 507 of the family's 1533-position model. The record is from RNAcentral.